GGGGGCGUGGCCCCGCCAGCGCGCAGGGCUCCAAGCAGCUGCGACUAGCGGAAAGCGCGCGCCAGCUGCACGCAGGGAAACAGUUCUCAUUUUGUGUGCUCGGCUGACUGCACGUCCAGCCUCGGGCCAGCUCGAGACGGCCACAUUGCCUGGUUGAAGAUGGCUGAGCGUAAAACAGAAUGCAAGUCAGCUGGAGCACGUACUACUGGAGGCAGAGCCCCAUGAGAAGGGGCCAAGAACCCGCACCCAUCAAAAUCAAGAAGAAAGGCUGAACCCGGAGAGAAAAGGGAGCAACUGAUGUUGCCAUGCAGAUCCCUUGGUUGCUAUGAGAUGGUAACAUCACUCUGCCCCACCAUUGGCCAGUGCCUCCUCAGCUGCGGUGCCUCCCAGGCUGUGUGGUUCUCACGCGGGCCACUGACACAGAGCUGUUACUAUGGUGAACUUUACAAUUUCCUUUGAUUGGUGGAUUUCAGAAAUAGGCCAUCAGCGGAAUUCAUUAUAUUCAGCUAAGUAAAAAUGAAAAAUAAAUACUAUAACUUUCCCCUCAUCACUAACAUGAAGGAAACGUGACCCUUCAUGACAUAAUAAAUCGCUGUUCGGUAACUUAGGAUCCUUCAGGGGACUGAAGCGGGAUGAUCCUCCUAUGCCAAAUUUGGGUGGGAAAGAUAUUCCCUGUAGCUUUGAGUCGACUCUUCAGAGUUAAGGGCAGUGGGCCAACCAGAGUUGGAACUUCAGAGUUGGGAGGAGGUGUGGGAUGGGGCAUGCAUUGAAAUGUAAACUCUAUUGUCUCUGAAGUGAUGGGUGAUGCUGGGGGCCUGAGUGUGGAGGGCAGUUUUACAUCUCAGGACAAUGUUUUCUCAGAUGCUCUUCCAGAAAGAAAAGCCAGGAGUACUCCUGGCUGGAGGCGGCAUGCCUGAGGUCAGAGUCAAAGUAGGGUUUGUGCUGUCUGAAUCCUUUCUCCCACUCUCCCCAGCCUGGCUCAGCUUCUCAGCUUCUCAGGUGGAUUGGCCUCUGAGCCCAAGCCAAGCCAUCGCAUCCCCUGUGACUUGCCCGUAUAUAUGCCCAGAUGGCCUGAAGUAACUGAAGAAUCACAAAAGAAGUGAAUAUGCCUUGCCCCACCUUGACUGAUGACAUUCCACCACAAAAGAAGUGUAAAUGGCCGGUCCUUGCCUUAACUGAUGACAUUACCUUGUGAAAGUCCUUUUCCUGGCUCAUCCUGGCUCAAAAAGCACCCCCACUGAGCAUCUUGCGACUCCCACUCCUGCCCACUGAGCACCUUGUGACCCCCACUCCUGCCUGCCAGAGAACAAACCCCCUUUGACUGUAAUUUUCCUUUACCUACCCAAAUCCUAUAAAACGGCUCCACCCUUAUCUCCUUUUGCUGACUCUCUUUUCUGACUCAGCCCGCCUGCACCCAGGAGAUUAAAAGCUUUAUUGCUCACACAAA
Molecule: long non-coding RNA, 1447 nt
Filed under: Homo sapiens (human)
Lineage: Eukaryota; Metazoa; Chordata; Mammalia; Primates; Hominidae
Description: novel transcript, antisense to PELI1
Source: RNAcentral